This 1404-nucleotide long non-coding RNA is filed under the name Daucus carota (carrot). Its description in RNAcentral is "long non-coding RNA (DCAR_LNC007185)". The record is from RNAcentral. Lineage: Eukaryota; Viridiplantae; Streptophyta; Magnoliopsida; Apiales; Apiaceae.
UCGCUAUCUCAUCUUUUUUCUAUUUUUUUUUUAAGUCAAGUAAUUCUCCAGUAACCAAGGGUUAUGAAAAGUCACCAAGAAAUUUUAUUUCUAGUACAAUUGCACUUAAUACCAGCACAAGUACCUGGAUCGUCCCUUUCAAAUUUUACCACCCGUUGAUCUCAAAGGAGUACUCGAUACUUUAUUUGCAGUAUUCUAUUUUUUUCUUUUUUUUAGAAAGGCAUAUACAUCCUAAAGCUCCCCUAAACUUAAGAUUUACAUACUCUAAGCUUAAAAGGGAAUAGUCAAAAUUCUACACUCGACUCAUAGAUAAAACUCAAGAAUUAAGUUAGCCUAAGUCUUGUCUCUAGAGCAUCAAAUAGUGUAAUUAAAUUUCCGCACAAGCAAUUUCUAAGCAUGCAAGACAUUAUAUAUGAUCAAGACUACUAGCCAAUAAAUUAUGCAAAUAAAUCAUCAAGAAAAAUUAACUUGGUAUUAUUUACUUUCAUGAAAUAUGCAAAUGCAACCUAAAAAGAAAUAAAAAAAACUACUAAAAAAUGCAAACAAAAUUAAUAACUACAUGCUCUAAUUUAAAUACAACUAACAUGAAUUUCCUAAUUUAAGACAUGGCAAUAUACAAUUUUUCUCUAAUUUUUUUUAUAAUAUAUAAUAUAAUUUUUUUGAUUUUUUAGUCAUUGAGAAACCAUCCCCACACUAAAGUGGUUCAUUGUCCUCAAUGAAUAAAUAUGACAUAGAUAUAUAAAUAUAUUAAUAAUAAUUAUUAAAAAGAAUACUCCCCUGGAAUGCUGUAGAAGUGUGAAGUAGUUCUGCACUUCCCAAAUAUUUCUGGAUGACUCCUUUAACAAGUGUAGAAGUUGUCUCAGUGGAUGGAAAGUGGCUCUUAAAGUCUUGGACAGUAGUGGUCUGGUGUUCAAUUCCCAGCGACAUCAUAAAUUUUUUAAACACAGUGGGCAGCUAAAUGGAUCUGAGAUCCGGCCCGGGAAUUUAUCGCAGCAGGCUGGGCUCGUUGCUUUGAAAAUUCGGAUGGGCCUGGACGCUGGACUUGGGCCUUGCAUAAUGGAUGACCUUGAAGCUGGUAAACGCUUGCUCCUGCAUUACAGGAGUACAUAAAGCUGGAUUGAUGUGAAGUCCAUGGAUUGGGCUGCUUGUAGGAGUUGGACCUGGAUUUUGUCUACUGGGCUGAAAGAUGGGCUUGAGUCCAGCCACGGAAUAAAGAAUUAAGCGCGCGAGCGGGAGACGGGAGUAGAAUGUGAGCGCUGAGUCAGUAGGUAAUGCACCGCCAGCAGAAAAUUGCACCGCGAGCAGAAAAUGUAGAAUGGCCCCAGAAGGUUUCGCACUGCAAGGAGAGAAUCUGCACGCCAGUGCACAAUUUACUGGUUGUCUUGUGCACAGCAACGAAUAGGA